RNAcentral lists this ribosomal RNA (396 nucleotides) under uncultured bacterium. Its description in RNAcentral is "partial 16S ribosomal RNA". It matches the Rfam family "Bacterial small subunit ribosomal RNA", at positions 523 to 918 of the family's 1533-position model. The record is from RNAcentral.
AUACGUAGGGAGCGAGCGUUGUCCGGAAUUACUGGGUGUAAAGGGAGCGUAGGCGGGAGUGCAAGUCAGAUGUGAAAUACAUGGGCUCAACCCAUGGGCUGCAUUUGAAACUGCAUUUCUUGAGUGAAGUAGAGGGACGCGGAAUUCCUGGUGUAGCGGUUAAAUGCGUAGAUAUCAGGAGGAACACCGGUGGCGAAGGCGGCUUACUGGGCUUUUACUGACGCUGAGGCUCGAAAGCGUGGGGAGCAAACAGGAUUAGAUACCCUGGUAGUCCACGCUGUAAACGAUGAUUACUAGGUGUGGGGGGACUGACCCCUUCCGUGCCGCAGUUAACACAAUAAGUAAUCCACCUGGGGAGUACGGCCGCAAGGUUGAAACUCAAAUGAAUUGACGGGG